This 345-nucleotide unclassified non-coding RNA is filed under the name uncultured fungus. RNAcentral describes it as "partial internal transcribed spacer 2". The record is from RNAcentral. Lineage: Eukaryota; Fungi.
AACGCAUAUUGCACCCGGCGGGUGGUUCCCCCACCUAGGUCGGGUCUGCCUGGCUGAGUAUCAGUACGGACCCAAGGAAUAAUAGUAUUCUUUGGUGAUCGUCUUAAAGGCGGAUAUGAGUGAUCCGGUAUAUAUCUAUGUUACUGGUCACUUGAAAUGAACAACCGAGUCGUCGUGUUGUGUCGUCGUCAUUCACACGGCAAUCUUUGUGAUCGUCCCAGUUGGGAUGUCCUUUUUGCCGUUUGACACGACUCUUACAACGAAUCUCGUUCCAUGUGCAGAGGAUAUUCUUCUUCUUCUUCCACCCUUGAUCUCAGAUUAGGCAGGAUGACCCGCUGAACUUAA